AUCAACGCUGGCGGCGUGCCUAACACAUGCAAGUCGAACGAGAAAGUGGAGCAAUCCAUGAGUAAAGUGGCGCACGGGUGAGUAACACGUGACUAACCUACCCUUGAGUGGGGGAUAACUUCGGGAAACCGAGGCUAAUACCGCAUAAUACCUACGGGUCAAAGGAGCAAUUCGCUUAAGGAGGGGGUCGCGGCCGAUUAGUUAGUUGGCAGGGUAAUGGCCUACCAAGACGAUGAUCGGUAUCCGGCCUGAGAGGGCGCACGGACACACUGGAACUGAAACACGGUCCAGACUCCUACGGGAGGCAGCAGUGGGGAAUUUUGCGCAAUGGGGGAAACCCUGACGCAGCAACGCCGCGUGGAGGAUGAAGUCCUUCGGGACGUAAACUCCUUUCGAUCGGGACGAUAAUGACGGUACCGGAAGAAGAAGCCCCGGCUAACUUCGUGCCAGCAGCCGCGGUAAUACGAGGGGGGCGAGCGUUGUUCGGAAUUAUUGGGCGUAAAGGGUGCGUAGGCGGUUUGGUAAGUCUUGUGUGAAAUCUACAGGCUCAACUUGUAGUCUGCACGAGAAACUGCCGGGCUUGAGUAUGGGAGAGGUGAGUGGAAUUCCUGGUGUAGCGGUGAAAUGCGUAGAUAUCAGGAGGAACACCUGUGGCGAAAGCGGCUCACUGGACCAUAACUGACGCUGAUGCACGAAAGCUAGGGGAGCAAACAGGAUUAGAUACCCUGGUAGUCCUAGCCCUAAACGAUGACUGCUUGGUGUGACGGGUACCCAAUCCCGCCGUGCCGUAGCUAACGCGUUUAGCAGUCCC
RNAcentral lists this ribosomal RNA (811 nucleotides) under uncultured bacterium. RNAcentral's name for it is "bacterial SSU rRNA". It matches the Rfam family "Bacterial small subunit ribosomal RNA", at positions 29 to 871 of the family's 1533-position model. The record is from RNAcentral.